AAUAAACGCUGGCGGCGUGCCUAACACAUGCAAGUCGAGCGAGAAAGCUCCUUCGGGAGUGAGUACAGCGGCGAACGGGUGAGCAACGCGUGGGAAUCUACCCUUCAGUGAAGAAUACCCUUGAGAAAUCGAGGUUAAUACUGCAUACGUCCUGUAAAGGAGAAAGAUGGCCUCUUUGCUGUCGUUGAGGGAUGAGCCUGCGUACUAUUAGCUAGUUGGUAGGGUAACGGCCUACCAAGGCGAUGAUGGUUAACCGGCCUGUGAGGGUGACCGGUCACACUGGGACUGAGACACGGCCCAGACUCCUACGGGAGGCAGCAGUGGGGAAUAUUGGACAAUGGGCGGAAGCCUGAUCCAGCAACGCCGCGUGAGGGAUGACGGCCUUCGGGUUGUAAACCUCUUUCAGCAGGGACGAAGCGCAAGUGACGGUACCUGCAGAAGAAGCACCGGCCAACUACGUGCCAGCAGCCGCUGUAA
RNAcentral lists this ribosomal RNA (477 nucleotides) under uncultured bacterium. Its description in RNAcentral is "partial 16S ribosomal RNA". It matches the Rfam family "Bacterial small subunit ribosomal RNA", at positions 29 to 523 of the family's 1533-position model. The record is from RNAcentral.